GGGGCUGAAUAAAGCCUUUUUGCAUGGAAAAUAAUCAAGAACUCUUCCCUUAGUGUCGCACAAAUCGGAAGCCUUCAUAAGGGGCCGAUAGGUAGGAGUUUGUUUGGGAUAAGGACUUUUAGUUCAAAUCGAAUUCAAACUAAAACUAACCCUAUCCUAUCCUUAAUGGGUGACCACAUGGGGCAUUUGGCAUGGUGUCAACUCAUGCUAAAUCAGAUUUAGCGAAGAGAGCAUGGCAUGAAGAAAGGAG
This 250-nucleotide long non-coding RNA is filed under the name Elaeis guineensis (African oil palm). RNAcentral describes it as "long non-coding RNA (EGUI_LNC045777)". The record is from RNAcentral. Lineage: Eukaryota; Viridiplantae; Streptophyta; Magnoliopsida; Arecales; Arecaceae.